AUUGAACGCUGGCGGCAGGCUUAACACAUGCAAGUCGAGCGGUAACAGGAGAAGCUUGCUUCUCGCUGACGAGCGGCGGACGGGUGAGUAAUACUUAGGAAUCUACCUAGUAGUGGGGGAUAGCUCGGAGAAACUCGAAUUAAUACCGCAUACGACCUACGGGAGAAAGGGGGCAACUUGUUGCUCUCGCUAUUAGAUGAGCCUAAGUCGGAUUAGCUAGAUGGUGGGGUAAAGGCCUACCAUGGCGACGAUCUGUAUCUGGUCUGAGAGGAUGAUCAGCGACACCGGGACUGGGACACGGCCCGGACUCCUACGGGAGGCAGCAGUGGGGAAUAUUGGAAAAUGGGGGCAACCCUGAUUCAGCCAUGCCGCGUGUGUGAAGAAGGCCUUUUGGUUGUAAAGCACUUUAAGCAGUGAAGAAGACUCUAGGGUUAAUACCCUUAGACGAUGACAUUAGCUGCAGAAUAAGCACCGGCUAACUCUGUGCCAGCCGCCGCCGUAA
This 502-nucleotide ribosomal RNA is filed under the name uncultured bacterium. RNAcentral describes it as "partial 16S ribosomal RNA". It matches the Rfam family "Bacterial small subunit ribosomal RNA", at positions 30 to 523 of the family's 1533-position model. The record is from RNAcentral.